This 686-nucleotide ribosomal RNA is filed under the name uncultured bacterium. Its description in RNAcentral is "bacterial SSU rRNA". It matches the Rfam family "Bacterial small subunit ribosomal RNA", at positions 32 to 715 of the family's 1533-position model. The record is from RNAcentral.
AACGCUAGCUACAGGCUUAACACAUGCAAGUCGAGGGGUAGCAGGGUAGCAAUACCGCUGACGACCGGCGCACGGGUGAGUAACACGUAUCCAACCUUCCCAUCACUCGGGGAUAGCCUUUCGAAAGAAAGAUUAAUACCCGAUAGUACUUUUUUGAGGCAUCUUGAGAAAGUUAAAGAUUUAUUGGUGAUGGAUGGGGAUGCGUCUGAUUAGCUUGUUGGCGGGGUAAUGGCCCACCAAGGCAACGAUCAGUAGGGGUUCUGAGAGGAAGGUCCCCCACAUUGGAACUGAGACACGGUCCAAACUCCUACGGGAGGCAGCAGUGAGGAAUAUUGGUCAAUGGACGAGAGUCUGAACCAGCCAAGUAGCGUGCAGGAUGACGGCCCUAUGGGUUGUAAACUGCUUUUAUAAGGGAAUAAAGUGAGUCUCGUGAGACUUUUUGCAUGUACCUUAUGAAUAAGGACCGGCUAAUUCCGUGCCAGCAGCCGCGGUAAUACGGAAGGUCCGGGCGUUAUCCGGAUUUAUUGGGUUUAAAGGGAGCGUAGGCCGGAGAUUAAGCGUGUUGUGAAAUGUAGACGCUCAACGUCUGCACUGCAGCGCGAACUGGUUUCCUUGAGUACGCACAAAGUGGGCGGAAUUCGUGGUGUAGCGGUGAAAUGCUUAGAUAUCACGAAGAACUCCGAUUG